RNAcentral lists this long non-coding RNA (2167 nucleotides) under Ricinus communis (castor bean). RNAcentral describes it as "long non-coding RNA (RCOM_LNC000271)". Lineage: Eukaryota; Viridiplantae; Streptophyta; Magnoliopsida; Malpighiales; Euphorbiaceae. The record is from RNAcentral.
UCCACUUUCCAUUUGCCUUAAAAGUACUAUUCCUUCCCCACAAUCAUGGGAAAUUGCUUUUGUCAUCCAUAAUAAUAUUUCAGGUUGGCCUUGAACAGCUUGGCAAAACUCUCUUCACCCAUAGGGAAGCAAAUAGAACAGCCUACUACUUAAGGCCAGUCGUUGCCAAGCAUCCGCCAGCCAGCCGAUACAUCAGUCUGCUGAACAUAAAAUUCCGUCGUCAAGGAGUUUAGAAAUUCGAACUUGAACUUAAGAUAUCCAUCCGAAUUCUAUAGAGCUCUCCCUUCAAAUUAAAAAUUUAAUGGUAAAAAGUUUCGUACUUAGCUAAGAUGGUAAAAUUUUAUCGUUUAAUUGUAUUUCUAAUUCUCUUUUUCUUUUUUCGUUUUUUCUUAAUCUUUGAUGCAUCUCAUUGUCUGGUUUCUUCUUCUUGAUGAAAGAACCUUUAAGAAAAAAGAAAAAGAAAAACACUUCUACUUGUCAAUGGCAUCCCAAAACUCACAUUCCCAAACUUUGUCAGCUUGGGUAUGAAAUUAUUGUACUUGUGUGUGAUUCUUAACUGACUAUGAAGACUGAACAAUUACCACCACAUCAAUAUAUUUGUCUUGUUCACUCACAUUUUCAACCAAAACUCAUGAAAUUAACCUUGGCUCUUGAUGUAACGAAAAUAACAGGACCCAUCUAACUCACAAGUGCAUGAUGCAAUGAUAAGUGCACUAACCACCAGAUUUAGAACACAUACCAAUCACCAAAUCUAGGCAGUACCCAAUGGACGGUUCUUAUCGUUUGAUCAGAAGCCCCAUCAUGAUGUGCCUUCACUACCCAACUACUCAGGCAAGUAAUGCAGCAUGGAUGCAUAUCAUUAUCAAAAAGAAAGGGGGCAAACAAAAAAAAGAAAAGAAAAGACUAUAAACAAGUUGAUGCAUAUGAUAUGUACUAUGAAUUUAAAUUUAAAGCAACAAUAGACCGUCAAAGAUUUUUGGAUAGGACCCACUUAUAUAGUUGGUGAUUAGGGCAACAUUAAUUAAGCAAAUGAAAGUGACAUUAUAGGCAAUUUGUGAGUAUCAUCAGUCAAUUAACUUGGGCAAUCUCCAUGGAUACUUCCAAGCACUGAAAGGUGAUGGGUUUUUCUUUAUUUUGAUGUUGGACGGAUGUUGUAAGAAAUGAUUCAUUAUUUAAGGGAGUAAAUGUUUCUUGGCCGCACAUGUGUCCAUAUAGAAUUAGCUAAUGGAAAUUCUAACAUUUUAUUUUUAUAAUAAUAUUUGUUUCUUAUUUUCUAUUUUUCUAAAUAUAUUUUUUUUCUUUUCAUAAUACGAAAUGAAUUCUUAGACUCUUUUAGAGUAUCUAAAAAUUGUUCGCUUCGAUAAAAGUAUCUAUAAAAUAGAACAAAAAUUAAUAUAAUAUUAAUUCUCACGAUUUUAUUAUAGUAUUUAAGUCAUGCUAUUUUAUAAUGAAUAAAAAAGAAGAGUCUGUCAUAAAAGAAUAUUAAAAUAUGGUAAUUUUGGUGAAAUUUUCAUAUUAUUACUCUUGAUUAUAACAUUAAGCUAGGCUUUAAUUAAUAAUAAUAAGAAGAAGAAGACGAAGAAAGAAGAAGAAAUCAAAUCUUCCAUCAAAAUGGAUUAAAGUAUAUUGUAAUUGCACAAUAAUUGAGUUAACAUUUUAGUAUAAAAAUCAACAAGGUAUCCAUACCGACAAGUUUUCCUGUGAAAGAUGGUGUGCAUAGUCUGAGCAACUAGCUCCAAUUGCUCCAAACCCAAUUUUGAAAAGAUGGAAAGGAAUGAGUAUGGGACCCGACCACCAUAACCAUGGACAUGAAUUGGUGAAAGAGAAGAAGCAGAAGGCCAUAAAAGAAAAUAUGAGGCAUAUUUGUUAUGGUCCCAGUGGCAGUGACAAUUGAUAAGAAAUAGGUAGCACCAGAAAAUCGUACAAAAUCAACAUGUAAUACAAACAAUAUGCUAAGUGACAAACUCUUCACGUGGCUUGCUACCCAAUUAUGGACGCUUCAAAUCUCUUUAGUGUUUAUGUGGGAUCAUCGUCUCUUCUUCUUCUUCUUGUCCAUGUUUACUGGACUGAAGAAAUUCCAACAUGGUUUUUGGAAUGAAUAUAUAAAAGAAUUUUGGUGAUACCAACAUCCACCUCUUGUACAUAUUGUUCAUUUAUUUCGUUGUCA